RNAcentral lists this transfer RNA (83 nucleotides) under Schistocephalus solidus. It matches the Rfam family "tRNA". Rfam says of the family: Transfer RNA (tRNA) molecules are approximately 80 nucleotides in length. Their secondary structure includes four short double-helical elements and three loops (D, anti-codon, and T loops). Lineage: Eukaryota; Metazoa; Platyhelminthes; Cestoda; Diphyllobothriidea; Diphyllobothriidae. The record is from Rfam by way of RNAcentral.
GGCCUCAUAGCUCAGUUAGUUAGAGCGUUGGCUGUACUAAAGCCUUCCUCUUGCUGGCGUGGGUUUGAAUCCCACCGAGCCUG